GGAUUUGAACUGGAGAUCAGGAACGAGCUCUCGGGUCGGUACAGGAGGCUUGUGUACAAAUGCUGGUCCCGCGACAACGAUCUAGGGUGGCGACAAGACUGGCCAGAUCAACAGAAGGACUGGUCCUUCGCUAUGUCGCUAUUCCACACCUUUUUUCACUGCAACUUCCAUACAGGAUACGGACGUGUGGACAAGCAGCUAGUUGUGUCGUGGGAGAUGAAAGAGCAGUGUGGGGACAGGGACAAAUGCACUUGGGUCGUUAAGAAGGAUGGACUCUACUUGAGACAGUGGAAGACCAAAUUUUUUAGUAACAAGUACGGUAACGAGAGGUGGAAUGAGUAUGUUCAACAUGAUGUCCUCCAGAAAGCUUGGAGCUAAAUUAACAAUUUCACGAUGUUGAUCUGUAUGAAGAUCGUAACAAUGUCGUGAUUUUCGUCUCUGUAUGUUGUUAUUCGUGUUAAUAAAACCAAAAAUAUAAUGUGUAAAUUUAUAAAUGGUGAAAAUGAGAAAAAAAAAACGUAUCUAUGAUUAUGUUUUGUUGUUUACUGUUAAUAGAUUUUAUAGCUGGAUACCGUACAUUAUCAAUGAAUACAGUUUCUGCAAGAUAAUCAUCAAAGAAGCUAAUCGCCAUUAGGUGGAAUUGAUACAAUAUACUCUAGUAAUAAUGUUUUAACACUAGACUAAUAUAAUGAACUUCAUUUUUAAUAUAUUUUAAAGGUGAAAACUUGGUCAAUGUUCUGGAUGGUUAAAAAUUGCAAAACUAUGCGAUAAAAUGAUAUCAUUCAUUCAUUCAAACGUAACGUUCUAAAUUUUCAACCUGUGAUAAAAAAAAAAAUCUCUAAGAGGAUGAUGACGAUGAUCGAAGUUUCUGAAACAGUACAUUUUAUUUUUCAACCUUUGGGAUUUGCUCUGUUUUUUUUUUAUCACAAACUUACUUUCAUUCAUACUCAAACUUCAUCACUACAAUAGAUAGAGAGAAUUAUCUAUCCUCUUUGGCCAUAAACAUAGCAUACAACACAUAAAUAAACUAAGCAAGAUAGGUCUUCAAUCGAAGAUGACAGCGAAUUCAAGACGGUGCUUGAAUGCGUCGAGGGAACCUUCACGACAAAGUCGAACAACGGAUGAAUAGUCACAUAGUGUGACGUUAAGGUCCAGACCUCAUCAACGAGAAAAAUCGAAGUAAUCUCGUUUGCAUCUUCAGGUCCCGUGGAGACCGCUACGCAAGAUAACAAAACGUUGAGGAAACUGAAGCAGACGCUGAGCAACGAGACCGAGGAAACUCCUCUUUCUAUGGAAAGAAGAUAUGGUGGUAACAGUUUCUCCUCAAAGGAGGAGAAUGAUCGAAUGAGGACCGAACCCGGUAAACCCUCUGGUAACUUUUUCCAACAGGAAAGGUAUAAGCUUGUACUACGCGGAGGAGGGAAUCCCGUAAAUCCACCAGAAUUCUCUGCGUAACUGACCCAAUCACCGAACGACAUAACAUGUCGAAUCAAAUUUUCUUCUACAGAUUUGGGUCCUUGCAGGUAAAUUGUUGGGCUAACAGGUUCAAAUCUACAGAUGGGCCAAGCCCAAAUAUAAAAAGAUAUCACCUCGAUAAGUGCUGUCAGCAUGGGCCGGAUUACAAAGGAUUUGGGCCGUUCGUCGGUGCCAUGAAAGAGGUCGCCGGUAGAGCUUCGCCGGAGCGGAAGCGAACCGCCGUCUAGGAGAAAUCAUGCCUUUUGAGUGUUUAGCACAUGUGCACUGCCUCUGUUUACGUUUAGAAUUUGUCAAAAUGUCUAUAUUGAUCUACAGUUUGGAUAAUGAAGGAUAAUUAAAUCUCGUUUGGCAAUCUAAAUGACCUCAUCCUUUAUUGAUAGCUUGAUUAUUUAAAAUUCGGAUACACAUACCUAAAUAAUUUGAUAUUAUUGUUCUCUAAACCUAGGAUAAUUUUGUUAUUUUCAAUGUUAAGAUUUUUAGGUUUUACCCUAAUAACUACUUCCUUUAACGUCCGAUGGUACAAGCUCUAGCGCCACUAACAUAGAUGUGUACAAUAUGUAUCAUGUAUGUAUCACUAGGAAAUAUUGUUAGAAGUUAUAACAAAAAUGUAGUUUUCGUUUUUAACGUGUGGUGUAACAAAUCAAUUGGUAUCACUAAUUACUACAUUGUUGUAUUUUUAUUAUCCAACAAUAGACACUGGAUUGGUUAUCUCGUUAGUAGCUACAAAACCAAUUUUCUUCCAUAACUUUUCGUAUCCUUUCGUAAAUAUAUAAAAGCAAAAGAAAACGAAAGUGUCAUAAAGUAAAAAGAAAAACAAUAAGAAUUCAGAACUUGAGUAACUUUAUAAGAAAAUAGGAAAAAAAAUGAGAGGAGACUAUAGCAUUGCCAAGAACGGUAUAGUCUGGUGCUUUGUGUUACAAGUCAUCAUAUUCUAUGUAGAAUCGAUAGAAGUUGGAGAUGUGAGUUUCACGAUAGCGAUGAAAAACGAAAUGUACGGCUUAAAACGUCCAUCAGUUGUCUACCGGUGUAAGUCAUCUGAAAAAUCCCUCCGGUGGCACAGAUCGCGUCCCAAAACGCAAUUUUCAUGGGAUUUUGAUGUACCGCCGUUUGGAAACGGCGUGGUGAUUCACAUAUGCCAUUUCCUGUCAAGCCAAGGGACAGCGCAUGUCGAGAUCAGGACGUUGUCGAUGACAUCUAUGUUGUGCGGAGGACAUGUGUGUAAAUACGUCAUCAAGCCGAACGGUAUAUAUUUCGUUGGUUUUGAGACGUACUAUCCGCACAACAUUUUGUUAAGGUUUCUAGAGUUGGUGAGGCCUGUUGAAAAGCUUGUCGAGCCAUGGAAGGCGUGGUCUCCGAGGCAGUUAAAAGCUUUGAGAGCGGAACGCAAUCGCACCAUGUCAAGCGAUGACAAAGAUUAUGAUGAUGACGACAAGGAAAAGGACGAUUAGGUAUAGAACACAAGAAAGAGACAGAAGAAAUGAUGAAGAAUAUAGUAGUUUAUGUUCUUUCUGUGAUAUGUACCAAAAUGGUAUGUACAUGUACUUUUGUAUCUUAAUAUGUCGACCAAAAAUAAGAAAAUUCUUUAUUUUUAACAUAAUUUGGCUCUACAAUCUGACUUGUCGUUGUGUUAAGGAAACCUCUCUAUUUGUGUUCAAUAAUUAAUAUGUUUCUUCUAUAAUAUUGGAUGAUCAUAACAACUUUGAUGUGUGGAUGACACCCACAAUAUCACACAAAUACUUACGAGUGUGGGAAGCCAGAUAAUCUGGAACAAAAUGCAUAUUCUACAUUAUAUUACUAUUCUAGUUACAAACGAAUGUUUUUGUAGGAGACAAUAUUAAUUUUUAUAAAAGGCAAAUGUUGUCGACAAUCGAUUAUUUAAAAACAGGAAAAACAAAAGGCAAACAAAUGGGUUAGCUUCAUAUUGCAAAUACAAAUAGUCAAAUAGCUUGCAAAACAUUUAUAUUUUUGCUGAUGAAUAUAUUUGACAUUCCAAAUAAUAAAAUACAAAAUACCCGACUAGAAACAUCAAAACCAUGUUAUAAGACAACAGUAGUGCACUCUUAAUGUUUUAGGACAUUGGCAAGUGUCCUUUCCUGAGCCAAUUUUUACCGCCUCAUAACAACCACCACCAAGGUUUGCCGGAGGGAGGAGGAGGAGACUUUCUGUAGUAAAAGGCUCUGUAAGCUUGAGGAGAAGGAUUAGCUUUCAAAGGUGGAAUGAUCGGAGCGGGAGGAGGAGGAGAAUUUAUUGGAGCUGGAGGAGGAAGAGCAACAGGAGGGGGAUAAGCCGGAGUAGGAGGAGGAUAAGUAACCGGAGUAGGAGGAGGAGGAUUAACUGGGGGAGAAUAAACCGGAGUAGGAGAUGGAGGAGGAGAAUAUGCUGGCUGGUAGUUAGUGGGAGUUUGCAGGAGUUUUCUGCUGUUGUUGGCUUCAGAAUAUGUGAAUAAGAUUGCCAAGAUAAAAACUAAGGCGAAAGAAAGAUUUAGAGACACCAUUUUCAGGUUAAUGUUAAGAUCCUUAUACUUAACUAUGUUUAUAGGUUAUAUAUAGCCCAUCGAAGUCCACUUAGAGGAUUACCACUAACUGUGGGAUUUAUUCAAGAUCUAAGUUUUCAAGUAUAUAUUAGCCGGCCGGUUUUGCUGUUUGUUGAGGCCACCCUCUAAUUAGUAUGCUUGCUUCAUGCUUAAGCAGUGGUAUUAACUAUUGUUAUAUCUCAUUAUGAAUUAUCAAAUUUACAAAUUAUUUCGCUAGUUGCUUAUAUAAAUUAUGUUGACCUUUUUAAGACAUGUUGUAAAGUAUUUCUCUAGUUGCAAUAUUUCCAAUAUUUUUUCAUUGAAAGCAGAUUCCAAAUAGUUACUAUUAAAUCUUAUAAUUACAAGCUUAAAAAACCUGUUUUGCAAAUUUACUGAACAAACAAAAAAAGUAAUAAAAUGUGGAUGUAGGCUAAUGACUUGUUCCUCCCCCUUGACCCGCGGCAAUAGCUGAAUCCUUUAUAGGCGUUACAAUUUCUAAAAAUAGUAAUUUUUGUAGAAACACUAUCUAUGUCCCAAAAAUCAAAACAAAAAGAUCGAGUGGGCAAAUAAUAAAGAACAGAAACAGAGUUACACAUAUGGGGUCAAAAAAGAUCCCCCAAACCCUCAACGGGCACUUUUCUCUUGUACUUAUCAUCACCAUAAUGAUGGUGACUCACUCCCAUGGAUUUCAACUGGAGAUCAGGAACGAGCUCUCGGGUCGGUACAGGAGGCUUGUGUACAAAUGCUGGUCCCGCGACAACGAUCUAGGGUGGCGACAAGACUGGCCAGAUCAACAGAAGGACUGGUCCUUCGCUAUGUCGCUAUUCCACACCUUUUUUCACUGCAACUUCCAUACAGGAUACGGACGUGUGGACAAGCAGCUAGUUGUGUCGUGGGAGAUGAAAGAGCAGUGUGGGGACAGGGACAAAUGCACUUGGGUCGUUAAGAAGGAUGGACUCUACUUGAGACAGUGGAAGACCAA
Molecule: long non-coding RNA, 4970 nt
Filed under: Brassica napus (rape)
Lineage: Eukaryota; Viridiplantae; Streptophyta; Magnoliopsida; Brassicales; Brassicaceae
Description: long non-coding RNA (BNAP_LNC020606)
Source: RNAcentral